Molecule: ribosomal RNA, 412 nt
Filed under: uncultured bacterium
Lineage: Bacteria
Description: bacterial SSU rRNA
Rfam family: Bacterial small subunit ribosomal RNA
Source: RNAcentral
AGUGAAUAGAUACCCAGGUAGUCCACGCCCUAAACGAUGUCGACUAGUCGUUCGGAGCAGCAAAUGCACUGAGUGACGCAGCCAACGCGUGAAGUCGACCGCCUGGGGAGUACGGCCGCAAGGUUAAAACUCAAAGGAAUUGACGGGGACCCGCACAAGCGGUGGAUGAUGUGGAUUAAUUCGAUGCAACGCGAAAAACCUUACCUACCCUUGACAUGUCUGGAACCUUGCUGAGAGGCGAGGGUGCCUUCGGGAGCCAGAACACAGGUGCUGCAUGGCUGUCGUCAGCUCGUGUCGUGAGAUGUUGGGUUAAGUCCCGCAACGAGCGCAACCCUUGUCACUAGUUGCCAUCAUUUGGUUGGGCACUCUAGUGAGACUGCCGGUGACAAACCGGAGGAAGGUGGGGAUGACG